Molecule: long non-coding RNA, 663 nt
Filed under: Setaria viridis
Lineage: Eukaryota; Viridiplantae; Streptophyta; Magnoliopsida; Poales; Poaceae
Description: long non-coding RNA (SVIR_LNC000536)
Source: RNAcentral
GGGCCCUUUCCAGCUUAGGGUUUACACCCUCCCACGCCUCCUUGCUGUUGCCCAUGUAUAAAUACAUCUAGCAGCCACCAGGAUGAACUUGGGUUUUGUUUUAGAUGCAAGUUAGCUACUGCUACUUCCUAGUGAACGCGUGUGUCGACCAGACCACCCGAUUUGCUUGAUUCAAGACCCCAACUCGUGAUUCAGGUUUCAUUUGUUUCAGAUCCGUGGGUUUAUUUGCUUGUUCAUCUUGUUCUUGCUUGUUCUCGAUUGCUAGCAGGUUCAAGGGUGUUCUUGGCCCGGCAAGAACAGCCAACGUCGGAAUCGGUGUACCUGUUGCUAAGGCGCAGCAUCCUGUGAUUGUUGUAGUCGGACAGCCAACGUUGAUUCCACCCCCAAAUCGAAGUUACCCCUCCUCUCAUCGAAAGAUUGGGAACAGCCCCUGCCAUAUCAUGUGCUAGUCUAAUAUUCAUGUGUGUCCUCACAUGAACUCCGACUAGGGACAACUUUAGAAUAACCAUACAAGUAAAGAGUUUCACAUACAAUUCACAUAAUUGCCAAUCAAUUCAAGUAGCCUUUAAUGGAUAUUCAAUGAACACAAUAUACAAAUCAUGGAUACAAAUGGAAUAUCAUCAUCUCUAUGAUUGCCUCUAGGGCAUACCUCCAACAGUCUCC